AUACGUAGGGAGCGAGCGUUGUCCGGAAUUACUGGGUGUAAAGGGAGCGUAGGCGGGAGGGCAAGUCAGAUGUGAAAUACAUGGGCUCAACCCAUGGGCUGCAUUUGAAACUGCAUUUCUUGAGUGAAGUAGAGGUAAGCGGAAUUCCUGGUGUAGCGGUGAAAUGCGUAGAUAUCAGGAGGAACACCGGUGGCGGAGGCGGCUUACUGGGCUUUUACUGACGCUGAGGCUCGAAAGCGUGGGGAGCAAACAGGAUUAGAUACCCUGGUAGUCCACGCUGUAAACGAUGAUUACUAGGUGUGGGGGGACUGACCCCUUCCGUGCCGCAGUUAACACAAUAAGUAAUCCACCUGGGGAGUACGGCCGCAAGGUUGAAACUCAAAUGAAUUGACGGGG
RNAcentral lists this ribosomal RNA (396 nucleotides) under uncultured bacterium. RNAcentral describes it as "partial 16S ribosomal RNA". It matches the Rfam family "Bacterial small subunit ribosomal RNA", at positions 523 to 918 of the family's 1533-position model. The record is from RNAcentral.